AGCAAAUGAUAAUUAAGAACGUAGAGAGAAAUGACAAUCUGCUAGUCGCGUGCCACAUAGGGACAUUUCCCAGCAUGCAAUGCCGGUUGUCAAUGACUCACCGGAACUCGAAGUAAUUCGUGUUCUUAUUGGUCAGGUUAUGCUACGUCACUUGUCAGCUGUACUGCAGAUGAUGUAUCUGAUCCCUACAACAAACGCGAUGCGUAAACACUUUAUCGGCGCUUUUAAUGCACCUUUGCUCACUUAGGCCCCCGAUGACCAUCUAAAGCUACCACGUUUAAAAAUGUUGUUUCAAAAAGUGCGUUUAGUAGCGAUAGGAAGCAAAGGUAGACACGCUCAUGUAAUACACUAGCGCAUAAUCCCCGGUCUAUCAUCCGCCUUAGCGCGCUUUAUGAUUGGUUAACUACUCGCUAGUCGUGACUGGGGUGAUAAAUAAUAUUGGUGGUUUAAUCUUAGAAUCAAUCGAGUACUUAAAACAAGCUUAAGGUGUGUCGGUCUGCAAGCAGCAAGUCGCUUUAAGGGCUUCACAAGUAGGAAACUAACAGACAAUGAAGCUGACGAUAGUAGCCGUUCUUCUCGGCCUCGCCUUGGUGUUGUCAUUCCCGGAUGCUGGUGUAGAAGGAAGGGGACUAGGAAACAUGAUGUUCUGCCAAUCAAAAUGCCAGGAAGCGGCGCUUGGUGCAUGCCGGUUCUGCGAGGAGAGCAAAUCGCAGCUAUGGUGCCUUAGAGAGUGUAGAAACACGUUCUUCGUAGAUUGCUUCAAGAGCGAGUGCUUGGACAACAGUGCAUGAGAGCGUAUGAUUUUCGCUGUAUAUUGACAUUUGUUCUUUGAAAGGACUUUAGAAGAGCUUUGUGUUAGUUGUAACCAGUUGCGAAACCAUAAAGAAUUGCAUAAAACUGUAAAGAAGAUAAACCCAGUAUUUAUUUAAGCAUAACAGUCCCUGUUAUGGUACCCUGGUUCCAGAGCCUCGUGCGUCUCUCUAUUUAGGGGCCAGCUGGCCACUGAACAGAGAGACGCUCGAGGCUCUGGGACCAGGGUACUGUUAUGGGGAGGGGAAUGAAAUACCACAAUAUUUUGUUAACAAGUUAUAAUUGCCGUCGCUGGUCCAAGGUUGUUCACUAUAGCUGAAUGACACUCAAUUUUACUCAUAAUUUUGUCUAUGACUGACACGUCCCCAACCCUUCUCUCCAUCCCAAAACGUAUAUAUUCAAGGGCACAAAACGGAUCUGUUCCGCAAAAUAUAUGUUCCGCAGCCCAUUUUUUUUGCUGGCUUGGAAGAUGUUAGACUCCUCGGUUGCUGGGAAAAAAAUCGUCCCGAUUACGGACGGUUUUUGCAUUUAGCACCAUAACUUUUUAGCAAUAAAAAGGACACUUUUGAGAUUUUGCCAGUAACAAGAUUGGACCUUAACCUAAAAAAAUACUUAUAAUAUAUAUAAAUAUAAGUUUAGAGCGCUGUGCUCGAAAAGUAUGUGUCAGUGAUUUGCCCUAAUCCCGGUCAACUGGCCCCAAUUCCGGACACAAACUGCGCGAACUAUUUGCGUAACUUUUCCCAUAUAUUUCCAAUGCUUAUAAAAUUUUAAAAAAUUAUCUUGUUUAGCAAAGCCAAUUUUUAUUAUGUGGAUCAUUCAUUCAUUCAUUCAUUUUUUUAUUUUGCACUAUUUUGAAUAAGAUAAAGAAUAUUUGGAUACAGGUA
Molecule: long non-coding RNA, 1694 nt
Organism: Nematostella vectensis (starlet sea anemone)
Lineage: Eukaryota; Metazoa; Cnidaria; Anthozoa; Actiniaria; Edwardsiidae
Exons: 2
Source: RefSeq, a predicted model, not a curated record